RNAcentral lists this long non-coding RNA (740 nucleotides) under Homo sapiens (human). Its description in RNAcentral is "HSALNT0293408". The record is from RNAcentral. Lineage: Eukaryota; Metazoa; Chordata; Mammalia; Primates; Hominidae.
CUGAAACCUCUCUUCCCUGUCUCAGCAUCUGGAGUCUUCAUGGAAGUGAGAAGUUUGCAGGUUUGCAGCUGCAGCCCUUUCAUGACAAAUUUUUCCUAAAUAACUUCAUGCUUGUGUGGUAUAUCCUUUCAUGCUUUCCCUGGUGACCAAAGCUCUCAUGCCAUUUACCUUGCUCCAGUGAAGCAGAGUUGCCAGCCAUCUAUGGAUCCUAACUAAAUUGGUCCUUGUAAUACUCGGUAUUAUUUGCCAAGAUAUUGAAAAACCUCUAAACAGUGAGAAGCUCCCAGCCCCUUUUCUGUGUCUCUCAUCACCAGCUGCUGUGCCCUGAGGACACCCAGGCAGCCUAAGGAGAGGCCCACAGGUGAGAAACUGCAUGUGUGAGCUGAGCUUGGAAGUGGAUCUUCUAUGUUUUGCCAACAGCCACGUGACUAGUUUUGGAAGCAGAUUCUCCAGCCCCAGCUGCACCUGUGCCAGAGGCACCCAUUAAGCCGCACCUAGUUAAAUUCCUGACCCACAAAGACUUUGAAAUCAUAAAUGUUUGUUGUUUUAAGCUGCUAAGUUUUGAAGUAAUCUGCCAUGUAGCAACAUGAAACUACUUGGACCAAAUAUGUGUUUUUCUAAGCACAGGAAUAUUCACACUUUAUUAAACUUGAGUAUUCCAACAAUAGGAUGGAAGUCCAAGUUUUAUUUCUUUGCUGGGACCCUCACAUGCAUGUAUCACAUAUGUAUCAUUAAAAAAU